CUGCAUCCAAAACUAUUUAGCUAGAGUGUGGGAGAGGAAGAUGGAAUUAGUUGUGUAGGGGUAAAAUCCGUAGAGAUAACUAGGAAUACCAAAAGCGAAGGCAAUCUUCUGGAACACUACUGACGCUGAGGCGCGAAGGCGUGGGGAGCAAACAGGAUUAGAUACCCUGGUAGUCCACGCAGUAAACGAUGAAUGUUAGUCGUCGGGUAGCUAGUCUAUUCGGUGAUGCAGCUAACGCAUUAAACAUUCCGCCUGGGGAGUACGGUCGCAAGAUUAAAACUCAAAGGAAUAGACGGGGACCCGCACAAGUGGUGGAGCAUGUGGUUUAAUUCGAAGAUACGCGAAGAACCUUACCUAGCCUUGACAUAUUUUAGAACACCCUAGAGAUAGAGUGGUGCCUUCGGGAGCUAAUUUACAGGUGCUGCACGGCUGUCGUCAGCUCGUGUCGUGAGAUGUUGGGUUAAGUCCCGCAACGAGCGCAACCCUCGUCACUAGUUACUAACGGUUCGGCCGAGGACUCUAGUGAGACUGCCUUCGUAAGGAGGAGGAAGGUGAGGAC
This 559-nucleotide ribosomal RNA is filed under the name uncultured Campylobacterota bacterium. Its description in RNAcentral is "bacterial SSU rRNA". It matches the Rfam family "Bacterial small subunit ribosomal RNA", at positions 621 to 1180 of the family's 1533-position model. The record is from RNAcentral. Lineage: Bacteria; Pseudomonadati; Campylobacterota.